GAGCCUGUGGCUCAAUGGUUAGAGUGUUUGAAUUCAGAUCAAAAGGCCAUGGGUUCG
RNAcentral lists this transfer RNA (57 nucleotides) under Schistocephalus solidus. It matches the Rfam family "tRNA", at positions 1 to 55 of the family's 71-position model. Rfam says of the family: Transfer RNA (tRNA) molecules are approximately 80 nucleotides in length. Their secondary structure includes four short double-helical elements and three loops (D, anti-codon, and T loops). The record is from Rfam by way of RNAcentral. Lineage: Eukaryota; Metazoa; Platyhelminthes; Cestoda; Diphyllobothriidea; Diphyllobothriidae.